RNAcentral lists this ribosomal RNA (929 nucleotides) under uncultured organism. Its description in RNAcentral is "bacterial SSU rRNA". It matches the Rfam family "Bacterial small subunit ribosomal RNA", at positions 1 to 920 of the family's 1533-position model. The record is from RNAcentral.
UGGAUCCAGACUUUGAUUCUGGCUCAGGAUGAACGCUAGCUACAGGCUUAACACAUGCAAGUCGAGGGGAAACGACAUCGAAAGCUUGCUUUUGAUGGGUGUCGACCGGCGCACGGGUGAGUAACGCGUAUCCAACCUGCCCAUCACUUGGGGAUAACCUUGCGAAAGUAAGACUAAUACCCAAUGACGUCUCUAGAAGACAUCUGAAGGAGAUUAAAGAUUUAUCGGUGAUGGAUGGGGAUGCGUCUGAUUAGCUUGUUGGCGGGGUAACGGCCCACCAAGGCGACGAUCAGUAGGGGUUCUGAGAGGAAGGUCCCCCACAUUGGAACUGAGACACGGUCCAAACUCCUACGGGAGGCAGCAGUGAGGAAUAUUGGUCAAUGGACGAGAGUCUGAACCAGCCAAGUAGCGUGCAGGAUGACGGCCCUAUGGGUUGUAAACUGCUUUUAUAAGGGAAUAAAGUGAGCUACGUGUAGCUUUUUGCAUGUACCUUAUGAAUAAGGACCGGCUAAUUCCGUGCCAGCAGCCGCGGUAAUACGGAAGGUCCGGGCGUUAUCCGGAUUUAUUGGGUUUAAAGGGAGCGUAGGCCGGGGAUUAAGCGUGUUGUGAAAUGUAGAUGCUCAACAUCUGCACUGCAGCGCGAACUGGUUUCCUUGAGUACGCACAAAGUGGGCGGAAUUCGUGGUGUAGCGGUGAAAUGCUUAGAUAUCACGAAGAACUCCGAUUGCGAAGGCAGCUCACUGGAGCGCAACUGACGCUGAAGCUCGAAAGUGCGGGUAUCGAACAGGAUUAGAUACCCUGGUAGUCCGCACGGUAAACGAUGGAUGCCCGCUGUUGGUCCGAAUAGGUCAGCGGCCAAGCGAAAGCAUUAAGCAUCCCACCUGGGGAGUACGCCGGCAACGGUGCAACUCAAAGGAAUUGACGGAAUA